AGUGAACGCUGGCGGCAGGCCUAACACAUGCAAGUCGAGCGGCAGCGCGUCCGACCACCCUCGGGUGGUCGGAUGGCGGCGAGCGGCGGACGGGUGAGGAAUGCAUCGGAAUCUGCCUCGUUGUGGGGGAUAACGUAGGGAAACUUACGCUAAUACCGCAUACGACCUACGGGUGAAAGUGGGGGACCUUCGGGCCUCACGCGAUGAGAUGAGCCGAUGCCGGAUUAGCUAGUUGGCGGGGUAAAGGCCCACCAAGGCGACGAUCCGUAGCUGGUCUGAGAGGAUGAUCAGCCACACUGGAACUGAGACACGGUCCAGACUCCUACGGGAGGCAGCAGUGGGGAAUAUUGGACAAUGGGGGCAACCCUGAUCCAGCCAUGCCGCGUGUGUGAAGAAGGCCUCGGUU
Molecule: ribosomal RNA, 406 nt
Filed under: uncultured bacterium
Lineage: Bacteria
Description: bacterial SSU rRNA
Rfam family: Bacterial small subunit ribosomal RNA
Source: RNAcentral